AAGAAACUGCCUUGCUCCUUCCACCAUGGGAGGACACAGCGUUUGUCUCUUCUGCCAUGUGAAGGCUGAGCAACAAGGUGCUAUCUUGAAAGCACAAACUGGGUCCUCAGGAUAUAGUAAAUCUUUUGAGGUCUUCCAGCCCCUAAAACUGGCAAUGAGGGCUUCCAUUCUGGCUCUUCACCAUGAUAACCUUGGGGGCUUCCUGGAUUUAAAACCCAGGAAAGCAGGGGUUGAGAAGGGAGAGCCUUUGACCAUGGUCUCUAGCAGUUUUUCACUCUCCUAAAUGUCCACGUUCAGCCUCCAGCAAGUUGUCGAAGUCACCAGACAAGGUUUUGCUGUAUUGCCUACUACACUGGAGUGCAGUAGUGCCAUCAUAGCUUACUGCAACCUCGAACUUCCGGGCUCAAGAGACCCCCCUGCCUCAGCCUCCCAAGUAGCUGGGACUACAGGGACACACCACCAUCCCUGGCUAAUUUUCUUUUUGUGUAGAGUCGGGGUCUCUCUAUGCCGUCCAUGAUGGACUCAAACCCCUGAGCUCACAUGAUCCUCCUCCCUCGCUCAGCCUCCCCAAGUGCUGAGAUUUACAGGUGUGAGCCACUGCGCCUGGCCCCCCUUUAUCUUUCACAGGCAUUUCCCAAUAAAUUUAUUUCCUUUCUAAUUCCUGUUGAUAAAUGCUUCAUGGAGCACCCAAACUGGCAUAGUUUAUGAUUUCUGAUGUUCUAUUCUAUUCCGUUACUGUGAAAGGAGACCUGGUUUUCCAUCACAUUCUCCCCUAAGUGAGAACUCUGGGGAAGACACACUGACUGCUAGAUUUUGCUUAGGAUGUGCAAGCAACGUAUGUCUGUCAGGCUUUGUCUAAUCUGUGUUCUAGAAUAAGGGGAGCUUAUUCGAGAAUGUCAACUUCCAAGAUUGGACGUUUUUACUUUCUCUAAAAUAUUUCAUUUUAGAGAAAUGAAGUAUUUUUUUUUUUCUUAAAAUAAAAUUAUCUGGUGUUUUCCCUAAGGGCAAAUGCCAGGAGCAUAUGCUCUAUAUGUUUUGCCUCGGGUGGGGUUGGGGUUAAAUCCAGG
This 1067-nucleotide long non-coding RNA is filed under the name Homo sapiens (human). RNAcentral describes it as "HSALNT0344868". The record is from RNAcentral. Lineage: Eukaryota; Metazoa; Chordata; Mammalia; Primates; Hominidae.